AUUGAACGCUGGCGGCAUGCUUUACACAUGCAAGUCGAACGGUAACAGGCCGCAAGGUGCUGACGAGUGGCGAACGGGUGAGUAAUGCAUCGGAACGUGCCCAGUCGUGGGGGAUAACUACUCGAAAGAGUAGCUAAUACCGCAUACGAUCUAUGGAUGAAAGCGGGGGACCGUAAGGCCUCGCGCGAUUGGAGCGGCCGAUGUCAGAUUAGGUAGUUGGUGGGGUAAAGGCUCACCAAGCCAACGAUCUGUAGCUGGUCUGAGAGGACGACCAGCCACACUGGGACUGAGACACGGCCCAGACUCCUACGGGAGGCAGCAGUGGGGAAUUUUGGACAAUGGGCGCAAGCCUGAUCCAGCAAUGCCGCGUGCAGGAAGAAGGCCUUCGGGUUGUAAACUGCUUUUGUACGGAACGAAACGGCUCUGGUUAAUACCCGGGGCAAAUGACGGUACCGUAAGAAUAAGCACCGGCUAACUACGUG
RNAcentral lists this ribosomal RNA (482 nucleotides) under uncultured bacterium. Its description in RNAcentral is "partial 16S ribosomal RNA". It matches the Rfam family "Bacterial small subunit ribosomal RNA", at positions 30 to 507 of the family's 1533-position model. The record is from RNAcentral.